Molecule: small nuclear RNA, 103 nt
Organism: Cricetulus griseus (Chinese hamster)
Lineage: Eukaryota; Metazoa; Chordata; Mammalia; Rodentia; Cricetidae
Source: Ensembl
GUACUCAUUCUGGCAGCACACUUACUAAAAUUGGAAUAAUAGCAGAUCACCAAGGCCCAGCAGCAGGGAUGACUUGAAGAUCUAAGAAGUGUUCCAUACUUUU